This 76-nucleotide transfer RNA is filed under the name Actinomycetes bacterium. RNAcentral describes it as "Actinobacteria bacterium tRNA-Ala". It matches the Rfam family "tRNA". From Rfam's summary of the family: Transfer RNA (tRNA) molecules are approximately 80 nucleotides in length. Their secondary structure includes four short double-helical elements and three loops (D, anti-codon, and T loops). Further hydrogen bonds mediate the characteristic L-shaped molecular structure. tRNAs have two regions of fundamental functional importance: the anti-codon, which is responsible for specific mRNA codon recognition, and the 3' end, to which the tRNAs corresponding amino acid is attached (by aminoacyl-tRNA synthetases). tRNAs cope with the degeneracy of the genetic code in two manners: having more than one tRNA (with a specific anti-codon) for a particular amino acid; and 'wobble' base-pairing, i.e. permitting non-standard base-pairing at the 3rd anti-codon position. The record is from RNAcentral. RNAcentral also lists the same sequence under 2 other names. Lineage: Bacteria; Bacillati; Actinomycetota; Actinomycetes.
GGGCCCAUAGCUCAGCUGGUAGAGCGCAUGGCUGGCAGCCAUGAGGUCGGGGGUUCGAGUCCCCCUGGGUCCACCA